RNAcentral lists this ribosomal RNA (459 nucleotides) under uncultured bacterium. RNAcentral describes it as "partial 16S ribosomal RNA". It matches the Rfam family "Bacterial small subunit ribosomal RNA", at positions 338 to 795 of the family's 1533-position model. The record is from RNAcentral.
CCUACGGGAGGCAGCAGUGAGGAAUAUUGGUCAAUGGGCGCGAGCCUGAACCAGCCAAGUCGCGUGAGGGAAGAAGGUCCUGUGGAUUGUAAACCUCUUUUGUCGGGGAACAAAGGACGCCACGCGUGGCGUUCCGAGAGUACCCGAAGAAAAAGCAUCGGCUAACUCCGUGCCAGCAGCCGCGGUAAUACGGAGGUUGCGAGCGUUAUCCGGAUUUAUUGGGUUUAAAGGGUGCGCAGGCGGUCGGAUAAGUUAGAGGUGAAAGCCCGAGGCUCAACCUCGGAAUGGCCUCUGAUACUGUGGGGAUAGAGGGGAGUUGCGGAAGGCGGAAUGGAUGUGUAGCGGUGAAAUGCUUAGAGAUCAUACAGAACUCCGAUUGCGAAGGCAGCAUGCCAAGUUAAGUCUGACGCUGAGGCACGAAAGCGUGGGGAGCAAACAGGAUUAGAUACCCGAGUAGUC